Molecule: ribosomal RNA, 510 nt
Filed under: uncultured bacterium
Lineage: Bacteria
Description: bacterial SSU rRNA
Rfam family: Bacterial small subunit ribosomal RNA
Source: RNAcentral
AUUGAACGCUGGCGGCAUGCCUAACACAUGCAAGUCGAACGGCAGCAUAUAUUAGUUUACUAAUAUGGUGGCGAGUGGCGAACGGGUGAGUAACGCGUAGGAAUAUACCUUAAAGAGGGGGACAACUUGGGGAAACUCAAGCUAAUACCGCAUACGCUCUUAGGAGGAAAGCUGGGGACCUUCGGGCCUGGCGCUUUAAGAAUAGCCUGCGUACGAUUAGCUAGUUGGUGGGGUAAAGGCCUACCAAGGCGACGAUCGUUAGCUGGUCUGAGAGGAUGGUCAGCCACACUGGGACUGAGACACGGCCCAGACUCCUACGGGAGGCAGCAGUGGGGAAUAUUGGACAAUGGGGGAAACCCUGAUCCAGCAAUGCCGCGUGUGUGAAGAAGGCCUGAGGGUUGUAAAGCACUUUCAGUGGGGAGGAGGAUUGAUGGUUAAGAGCUAAUUAAUUGGACGUUACCUACAGAAGAAGCAACCGGCUAAACUUCCCGUGCCAGCAGCCGCGGUAAU